RNAcentral lists this ribosomal RNA (236 nucleotides) under uncultured bacterium. RNAcentral's name for it is "partial 16S ribosomal RNA". It matches the Rfam family "Bacterial small subunit ribosomal RNA", at positions 118 to 347 of the family's 1533-position model. The record is from RNAcentral.
UGAAGAAUUUAUCCAACGGGCGGGGGAUAGCCGGCCCAACGGCCGGGUAAUACCGCGUACGACCACAUGGGGACAUCCCUGAGUGGUGAAAGCAGCAAUGCGCCGAUGGAGUGCCUCGCGGCCUAUCAGCUAGUUGGUGAGGUAACGGCUCACCAAGGCGACGACGGGUAGCUGGUCUGAGAGGAUGGCCAGCCACAUUGGGACUGAGACACGGCCCGGACUCCGUACGGGAGCAG